CCCGCUGAACUUAAGCAUAUCAAUAAGCGGAGGAAAAGAAACUAACAAGGAUUCCCCUAGUAACGGCGAGUGAAGCGGGAAGAGCUCAAAUUUGAAAUCUGGCGGUCUCAGGCCGUCCGAGUUGUAAUCUAGAGAGGUGUUUUCCGUGCCGGACCGUGUACAAGUCCCUUGGAACAGGGCGUCAUAGAGGGUGAGAAUCCCGUCCAUGACACGGACUCCCGGUGCUCUGCGAUACACCUUCAAAGAGUCGAGUUGUUUGGGAAUGCAGCUCAAAAUGGGUGGUAAAUUCCAUCUAAAGCUAAAUACAGGCGAGAGACCGAUAGCGAACAAGUACCGUGAGGGAAAGAUGAAAAGAACUUUGGAAAGAGAGUUAAACAGUACGUGAAAUUGUUGAAAGGGAAACGCUUGGAGUCAGUCGCGUCUGCCGGGACUCAGCCUUGCUUCUGCUUGGUGCACUUCUCGGUAGAUGGGUCAGCAUCGAUUUUGGGUGCCGGAAAAUGGCCGGAGGAAUGUGGCAGCUUGUCUGUGUUAUAGCCUCUUGUCGUACACGGUGCUCGGGAUCGAGGUCUGCAGCACGCCUUUGGUCGGGGUUCGCCCACGCCACGUGCUUAGGAUGCUGGCGUAAUGGCUUUAAUCGACCCGUCUUGAAACACGG
Molecule: ribosomal RNA, 655 nt
Filed under: uncultured fungus
Lineage: Eukaryota; Fungi
Description: eukaryotic LSU rRNA
Rfam family: Eukaryotic large subunit ribosomal RNA
Source: RNAcentral